AAGGAUUUAGUUUAGUUUAAAAUAUUAGAUUGUAAAUCUAAAGUUAUAAUUCUUGG
Molecule: transfer RNA, 56 nt
Filed under: Macropostrongyloides lasiorhini
Lineage: Eukaryota; Metazoa; Nematoda; Chromadorea; Rhabditida; Strongylidae
Description: tRNA-Tyr
Source: RNAcentral